Molecule: unclassified non-coding RNA, 334 nt
Filed under: soil metagenome
Description: partial contains 5.8S ribosomal RNA, internal transcribed spacer 2, and large subunit ribosomal RNA
Rfam family: 5.8S ribosomal RNA (bases 1-120)
Source: RNAcentral
GAUGAAGAAUGUAGCGAAAUGCGAUAAGUAAUGUGAAUUGCAGAAUUCAGUGAAUCAUCGAAUCUUUGAACGCACAUUGCGCCCGCCAGUAUUCUGGCGGGCAUGCCUGUUCGAGCGUCAUUUCAACCAUCAAGCCCCGGGCUUGUGUUGGGGACCUGCGGCUGCCGCAGGCCCUGAAAUGCAGUGGCGGGCUCGCUGUCACUCCGAGCGUAGUAGUUACAUCUCGCUCUGGGCGUGCUGCGGGUUCCGGCCGUUAAAAGCCUUAUUUACCCAAGGUUGACCUCGGAUCAGGUAGGAAGACCCGCUGAACUUAAGCAUAUCAAUAAGCGGAGGA